This is an RNA transcript of Populus euphratica (Euphrates poplar), 3705 nucleotides long. It is a transcript of the gene named vacuolar protein sorting-associated protein 54, chloroplastic-like, with no coding region annotated. Lineage: Eukaryota; Viridiplantae; Streptophyta; Magnoliopsida; Malpighiales; Salicaceae. The record is from RefSeq and is a predicted model, not a curated record. The transcript has 19 exons.
CCCUCCCUCCUCUCCCUCUGUAAAUUCCUUUCCUUCACUUCAGAUCCUAAAUACUCGUUUCUCUCUAGAUCCAACCCUCUGGAAUUCAAUUGUAUUCAAUUUCGUCCUUUUUCAUGCCUUCCAUCAGAUUCUUAAAUCCCUAGAUACACUGCUAGCAAAGCCAUGGAUUCUCUUCCUUCCUUCAAUUCCAAUUCCCCUCUCAAAAAAUCACUAUCUGAUACCACAAAUAUCCAAAAUCUCUCCUCCAUCCUCAACAACCCUCACUCCUUCAAAUCCACCGAUCCCUCCGCCUGGCUCGGCUGGUGGUCCUCCUCCACCACUCUAGCUCCUCCUGAUUUCUCCCCCAUACUCCCCAAACAACCGCCACCUGAUGUUUCCCGAUCGGAUUUCCUCCCCUACUUAUCAGCUGUCUCCGACACCUACUCCCGCUUCGAAGACAUCAAAAACCACACUAAAAAUAACGACCUUGAUCAAGAAUCGAAGUCGGAUUUGGCGGAUGCGGAGUCCAAUUCGGAUUUGGCUGCUGUAGGGCAAGGGGAGGCGCUGGUUGCUUGUUUGAGGGAAGUUCCGGCACUGUAUUUUAAAGAGGAUUUUGCGUUGGAAGACGGGCCCACCUUUCAUGCCGCGUGUCCGUUUAGCAAUGCGGCGGCGAAUUUGAUGUUGCAGGAGAAGUUGAGUCAGUAUUUGGAUGUGGUGGAGUUGCAUUUGGUGAAGGAGAUAUCGUUGCGGUCGAAUUCGUUUUUCGAGGCGCAAGGGCAGUUGGAGGAUUUGAAUGGGAAGAUUGUGGAAGGGUGUGAGAGGAUCAGGGAGUUGAAGGAGACUAUUAGGGUUUUGGAUAAGGAUUUGGUGGAGUCUGCGAGGGAGAUUCAUGAACUGAAUGUUAGUAGAGGGGAUUUGGUUUCUUUGCAGAAUAAGUUGAGGCUUAUUUUGUAUGUUAAUCAGGCUCUCUCCACGCUUAAAUUGCUUGUUGCAUCUGCAGAUUGUGCUGGAGCAUUGGAUGUUACUGAUGAUUUGCAGCAGUUCUUGGAUGGAGAUGAGCUGACUGGUCUGCAUUGUUUUCGUCACCUUCGGGAUCAUGUGGCAGCUGCAAUAGAGUCCAUAAACAGCAUCCUUUCAGCAGAAUUUAUGCGAGCUUCAAUACAUGGUGCUGGGGAUAAAGAUUUGCUUCUUUUAUCCAAAGCAAAAGUCAGGGAUUCCAUAUAUAUGAAUGGAAUAGAUGAAGAACAGGUUAAGUUGGAUGAUGAAGAGAUGUCCAAUUUUCGAGAUCGUCUUCUUCCUCUCAUUGUUGGGUUACUUAGAACUGCCAAGCUCCCCCCUGUGUUGAGAAUAUACCGAGAUACCCUUACAGCCAGUAUGAAAACCACCAUUAAGAAUGCAGUUGCAGAGCUGCUUCCUACCUUUUCAGCCCAAUCUCUGGAGUCAGAUCUCACACCUGCAGAGCGAACAGCAGAUACAGAUGGUGGAGGUUUAUCACUUGCAAGCAAGUUAAGGAGCUUGUCAUCCGAAAAUUUUGUGCUACUUUUAAAUGCUAUUUUCAACAUUGUACAGGCACACUUAGUGCGGGCUGCUGAAGUGAAAAAGGCAAUUGAGUGGAUUAUGUGUAGCGUUGACGGACACUAUGCUGCUGAUUCAGUUGCUGCUGCAAUUGCUGUUGGUGCAGCAGCUGCUGAAACAGCUCAUGAGAGUGAUGGUCUAGGUGGUUCUCUUCUCCCCUUUUCUCCACAGAGAAGUACUUCCAAGUUUGCUUCAUCUCAGCUGAAAGCAAAUGAUGCAGCAAGUCCCUCAAAUAUUUCAAGAAAUUUUAGAGCCGAUGUAUUGAGAGAGAAUGCAGAAGCUGUCUUUGCUGCUUGUGAUGCUGCUCAUGGAAGAUGGGCAAAGCUUCUUGGUGUCCGUGCUCUUCUUCAUCCGAAGUUGAGAUUGGUGGAGUUUUUAAGCAUAUACAACAUCACCCAAGAUUUUAUAACUGCCACUGAAAAGAUUGGUGGAAGGUUGGGUUAUAGCAUUCGUGGAACAAUGCAAUCACAGGCUAAAGCUUUUGUUGAUUUCCAGCAUGAAAUGCGAAUGACAAAAAUUAGGGCAGUGCUCGAUCAGGAGAUGUGGGUGGAAGUAGAUGUCCCUGAUGAAUUUCAGGCCAUUGUUGCUUCAUUGUUUUAUUCUGAAUGUGAGGGCCUAAAUGAUACUCAAGGUGAUGUGACAACCAGAUAUGGUGAAGCGGGCACAGGCAGUGAUGGUUCACUUGUGAUUGAUGCUGAAGCACAAAAUGCUGAACAAGAACUUGUGCAAAUGAACUCUACAGAUAUAUCUUUGGAAAAUUCUGUGCAAAAGAAAUCUACUCCCUCAACAGGGGCAACUGGAAGCAAUAAAGUCACAGCUGCAACUUCAUCAGCUCAGAGUAACAAUCAUAAUGUGAAGGAGCGUGGAAAAUCUACUUCCCAAACACUUUCUUGUGGAGGUGUUGGUUAUCACAUGGUAAACUGUGGCUUAAUAUUGCUGAAGAUGUUGUCAGAGUACAUGGAUAUGAAUACUUUUUUGCCAUCACUAUCUUCAGAAGUUGUUCAUCGUGUCGUGGAGAUCUUAAAAUUCUUCAAUACAAGGACUUGCCAGCUUAUUCUUGGAGCUGGUGCCAUGCAGGUGUCGGGUCUGAAGUCUAUUACAUCUAAGCACUUGGCCCUUGCUAGUCAAGUCAUCGGUUUUGUACAUGCCAUUAUUCCUGAAAUCAGGCGAGUUCUUUUCCUUAAAGUACCUGAAGCACGGAAAGUAUUACUGUUGUCAGAGAUUGAUCGAGUAGCACAGGAUUACAAGGUUCAUCAAGAGGAGAUACUUACAAAGCUGGUUCAGAUAAUGAGGGAAAGGUUGCUGCAUCAUCUACGUAAUCUGCCUCAAAUUGUUGAGAGCUGGAAUAGACCUGUAGAUACCGAUUCACAGCCUAGUCCUUUUGCUCUAACGCUUGUAAAGGAGGUUACCUAUCUUCAACGUAUCUUAUCUAGAACUUUACAUGAAGCAGAUAUCCAAGCAAUUUUCAGGCAAGUGGUCACAAUCUUUCAUAAAGAAAUUUCAGAAGCAUUCUCACGGAUAGAGAUCAGCAGUCAGCAAGCAAAGUUCAGGCUUCAUCGGGAUAUCACACUUAUCCUUGGAUGCAUCAGAUCAUUACCUUCUGGUAACUUGAGUGAAUCUGGUACCCCAAAUUGGGGACAACUUGAUGAAUUUUUGGUUCAAAGAUUCGGGUCUGAAUCUGGCUGAAAAAUGUCAUCAUCAAGUGUCAAAUUGGUUGCUCUUCUAGUGUGGCUGUAACAUGAUUUUUAUGGAAGAUAUGGGAUGAUAGAACCAGCUCUCAACUUAUACAGUUACCUUGUAGCAUAAAUUUGAGGUGUUUUGAUUGCUUUUAGGUAAAUAGUUGACAGCAUGUGUAUCAACAUUGAAAUGUUGCAGAAGGAAGUGUCUUUGAAGCAGAAUUUUUGUAGGAGUUUGCAGAUAAUACAAUUUUUAAAUUGUUUGAAAUAGUGAACUGCUGGUUCUAGCUAUCGAGUUGUUCUUCCACGUGCUGUUUUCAGAUGCACUCGAUUGCUUAAUCUUGAGAUAAUUGUAUUCUAGUACCAUAAACACGAUUUCAUUUUUCUUUUUGUCUGUCUUCCAUUCUUUCUUAUCUUCAUGUACUGGUUCAUAAAUUAGCCUGAAGAUAUCAUCAACUACGUUUAAUUUGCAAAA